UCGAUUACCCGCUGAACUUAAGCAUAUCAAUAAGCGGAGGAAAAGAAACCAACAGGGAUUGCCUUAGUAACGGCGAGUGAAGCGGCAAAAGCUCAAAUUUGAAAUCUGGCACCUUCGGUGUCCGAGUUGUAAUUUGAAGAAGGUAACUUUGGUGUUGGCCCUUGUCUAUGUUCCUUGGAACAGGACGUCACAGAGGGUGAGAAUCCCGUGCGAUGGGGUGUCCAAUGCUAUGUAAAGUUCCUUCGAAGAGUCGAGUUGUUUGGGAAUGCAGCUCUAAGUGGGUGGUAAAUUCCAUCUAAAGCUAAAUAUUAGCGAGAGACCGAUAGCGAACAAGUACAGUGAUGGAAAGAUGAAAAGAACUUUGGAAAGAGAGUGAAAAAGUACGUGAAAUUGUUGAAAGGGAAGGGCUUGAGAUCAGACUUGGUAUUUUGUUUCGGCAGUUUACCGGGCCAGCAUCAGUUUGGAUGGUAGGAUAAUGGCGAAGGAAUGUGGCUCUGCUUCGGUAGAGUGUUAUAGACUUUGUUGAUACUGCCUAUCUAGACUGAGGACUGCGUCUUUGACAAGGAUGUUGGCAUAAUGAUCUUAAGCCACCCGUCUUGAAACACGGACCAGG
Molecule: ribosomal RNA, 613 nt
Filed under: uncultured yeast
Lineage: Eukaryota; Fungi
Description: eukaryotic LSU rRNA
Rfam family: Eukaryotic large subunit ribosomal RNA
Source: RNAcentral